Chenopodium quinoa (quinoa) is the source of this 2105-nucleotide RNA transcript. It is a transcript of the gene named tRNA-dihydrouridine(20) synthase [NAD(P)+]-like, with no coding region annotated. Lineage: Eukaryota; Viridiplantae; Streptophyta; Magnoliopsida; Caryophyllales; Amaranthaceae. The transcript is spliced from 11 exons. The record is from RefSeq and is a predicted model, not a curated record.
UAUUCAACAACCUUAAUAUCAAAAACUCCAAGUCAGGCCCAUCACUUGUCGCACCACAUUAAACGACUCUACACUUUCCCGGCCCCGUUUUCGGCGCCGUUGUAACCGCCAAACAUGGACUACAACAACAAGCUUGUUCUUGCUCCUAUGGUUCGAGUUGGUACACUGCCUUUGAGGUUGUUAGCUGCUGAAUAUGGUGCUGAUAUCACUUAUGGGGAGGAAAUUAUCGACCAUAAGCUUGUUAAGUGCGAUCGUAUCGUUAACGAUUAUUUGGGUACGAUUGAUGUUGUUGAGAAAGGGACUCAAAGUGUGGUAUUUAGGACCUGCCCGGAGGAGCAUAACCGGGUCGUGUUUCAGAUGGGGACUUCUGAUGCUGUUAGAGCUCUCAAGGCUGCCCAACUUGUGUGCAAUGAUGUUGCUGCUGUUGAUAUCAAUAUGGGUUGUCCCAGGUCAUUUUCUAUUAGUGGGGGCAUGGGUGCUGCAUUGCUAUCAAAGCCAGAGACUAUUCACGAUAUUCUGACAACAUUGAAGAGGAACCUAAAUACCCCCGUAACAUGUAAAAUACGACUUUUGAAAACAUCUCAUGACACUGUGGAAUUGGCCAGACAGAUUGAGAAAACAGGUGUUUCUGCUCUUGCUGUCCAUGGAAGAAAAGUUCCAGAUAGACCAAGGGAUCCUGCUAAGUGGAAUGAGAUUGCUGAUGUGGUUGCUGCAUUAUCAGUUCCAGUAAUAGCAAAUGGCGAUGUCUUUGAUUAUGAAGAUAUUCAGCGCAUAAAAAAUGCUACAGGUGCCUCGUCCAUUAUGGUUGCAAGAGGUGCUCUUUGGAAUGCAUCGGUUUUCUCCCCUAAAGGAAAAUUGCCAUGGGAAGAGGUGAAGAAAGAGUAUGUCAGGAAGAGCAUCUUGUGGGAUAAUGAAGUCAAAAGCACUAAGCACACUUUGAAGGAAAUGAUAAUGCACCAUUCUUGCCUAGAAUUUCCAGAAGGGAAGGCUGUGAUCAAAUCAGAAACCUUGGUGGAUCUUGCGAAACUUUAUGGGGAAGAGGAUUAUUUCCAGUUUGUCAACAAAAACAGAUGACACAUAAGGGCUUUAAGGCUUUUGUAAAAUGAAACACAAAUCCUUUCCUGCAAAUUCUCAUCGAAUUUGAGAAUUAGGAUGCAUAUCAGGGUUCUUUCUCCUGAUUAAGCACAUAUAUAGACUUGCAACUUGCGUCUGAUAAGUGAAUGAGUUUAACCAAAACGUGCCAGUGGACAAGAUCUGACUACUACUGAAACGUAAAGAGCCUUCAUGAAAAUUGCAUUUCUACGUCACUGCAGUUGUCUACAGCGAUUGAUUGUGCUGAAGAGUGUUUUAUGAUUUGAACAAGUGAUGAACUCUUACUAUUGAUAUUCUUUGUGGUGAUAUGCUUUUGACCUGUGUACAACUCGCCUUGGAGAUGAUAUUCCACAUUCUUUGUAGUGAUAGCUUUCCCAUUGAAAUUGUGGAUAAGUGAGAAGAUGGUAUCGUUCAUGGAAUAUAAGAAUUUUGCAUCAUUUCAAUGUAAAAAUUAUUCUGCACUUUGAUGCCAUUUGUUGAUACUUUUUAGCAUUUGAAGCUAUUUCACCCUGGCAAUAACGCAUGCUAUUGGUUAUCGCUAAGGUAAGCCUUUAUUGAAUCUUACAAACUCUUCCGUCAUCCAGAUUCAAUUAUCACAUUACUAAUGCAAUGUAGCAACUUGCUGAUGCAUUUCUUUUGGUCUUUUAAAAACAACCUCCAUUGAAAUUUGGCUAUUACAUUACUAGUAUGAAGUACUGAAUAAGAAAUAAUUUGGUUUUUACAUUACUAGUAUGAAGUACUGAAUAAGAAAUUGAUCGUCGCGUUACUAGUUCCAAAUUGAAGGCGUAUUUGGUAAACUGUAAGCCUCAUCAAAUCAAAUCGAUGCCACAGCGAGGUUUUUGGCCCAUUAUUGACGCAUCAGUGCUUGUCGACUGCAUUGAUUGCAAAGAGCCAAUAAAGGUACUCCGUAGUCCGUACAUUAUAAAGCAGUGAAAAAGAUGAAAAGAUGCCAAACCACAAACUCUUUCUCAUCUGAUGAUCAAAGUUUGUGAAGUACCAUUCCAAAUUAAACC